Molecule: ribosomal RNA, 473 nt
Filed under: uncultured bacterium
Lineage: Bacteria
Description: SSU rRNA
Rfam family: Bacterial small subunit ribosomal RNA
Source: RNAcentral
AGGACGAACGCUGGCGGCGUGCUUAACACAUGCAAGUCGAACGGAAAGGCCCGCUUGCGGGUACUCGAGUGGCGAACGGGUGAGUAACACGUGGGCAAUCUGCCCUCAGCUCUGGGAUAACUCCGGGAAAACCGGUGCUAAUACUGGAUAUCGACUUCUGCCUCGCAUGGGGUGUUGUUGAAAGUUUUUCGGCUGGGGAUGGGCCCGCGGCCUAUCAGCUUGUUGGUGGGGUGAUGGCCUACCAAGGCGACGACGGGUAGCCGGCCUGAGAGGGCGACCGGCCACACUGGGACUGAGACACGGCCCAGACUCCUACGGGAGGCAGCAGUGGGGAAUUUUGCGCAAUGGGGGAAACCCUGACGCAGCAACGCCGCGUGGAGGAUGAAGCCUCUUGGGGUGUAAACUCCUUUCGAUCGGGAAGAUAAUGACGGUACCGAUAUAAGAGCCCCGGCUAACUUCGCGCCAGCAGCCGC